RNAcentral lists this ribosomal RNA (253 nucleotides) under uncultured bacterium. Its description in RNAcentral is "partial 16S ribosomal RNA". It matches the Rfam family "Bacterial small subunit ribosomal RNA", at positions 524 to 776 of the family's 1533-position model. The record is from RNAcentral.
UACAGAGGUCUCAAGCGUUGUUCGGAUUCAUUGGGCGUAAAGGGUGCGUAGGUGGCGCCAUAAGUCAGGUGUGAAAUCUCGGGGCUUAACUCCGAAACUGCAUUCGAUACUGCGGUGCUUGAGGACUGGAGAGGAGACUGGAAUUCACGGUGUAGCAGUGAAAUGCGUAGAUAUCGUGAGGAAGACCAGUGGCGAAGGCGGGUCUCUGGACAGUUCCUGACGCUGAGGCGCGAAGGCCAGGGGAGCAAACGGG